UCCGGUUUGUCACCGGCAGUCUCGCAUGAGUCCCCAGCAUUACCUGAUGGCAACAUACGACGAGGGUUGCGCUCGUUGCGGGACUUAACCCAACAUCUCACGACACGAGCUGACGACAGCCAUGCAGCACCUGUGUAUCGGCCCGAAGGCGGACCUAUUUCUAGGAUCCUUCCAAUACAUGUCAAAUCUAGGUAAGGUUCUGCGCGUUGCAUCGAAUUAAACCACAUGCUCCACCGCUUGUGCGGGCCCCCGUCAAUUUCUUUGAGUUUUAACCUUGCGGCCGUACUUCCCAGGCGGGAUACUUAACGCGUUAGCUUCGGCACUGAAGGGGUCAAUACCUCCAACACCAAGUAUCCAUCGUUUACGGCGUGGACUAC
RNAcentral lists this unclassified non-coding RNA (377 nucleotides) under uncultured Pseudobdellovibrionaceae bacterium. Its description in RNAcentral is "uncultured Bdellovibrionaceae bacterium contains 16S-23S intergenic spacer region". The record is from RNAcentral. Lineage: Bacteria; Pseudomonadati; Bdellovibrionota; Bdellovibrionia; Bdellovibrionales; Pseudobdellovibrionaceae.